GACGAACGCUGGCGGCGUGCUUAACACAUGCAAGUCGAGCGGUAAGGCCUCUUCGGGGGUACACGAGCGGCGAACGGGUGAGUAACACGUGGGUGACCUGCCCUCAGCUUCGGGAUAAGCCCGCGAAAGUGGGUCUAAUACCGGAUAUGACCUUCCGCUGCAUGGUGGGGGGUGGAAAGUUUUUGCGGCUGGGGAUGGGCCCGCGGCCUAUCAGCUUGUUGGUGGGGUGAUGGCCUACCAAGGCGGCGACGGGUAGCCGGCCUGAGAGGGCGACCGGCCACACUGGGACUGAGACACGGCCCAGACUCCUACGGGAGGCAGCAGUGGGGAAUAUUGCGCAAUGGGCGGAAGCCUGACGCAGCGACGCCGCGUGGGGGAUGACGGCCUUCGGGUUGUAAACCUCUUUCGGCCCCGACGAAGCGUGAGUGACGGUAGGGGUAGAAGAAGCACCGGCCAACUACGUGCCAGCAGCCGCCGUAACAC
RNAcentral lists this ribosomal RNA (483 nucleotides) under uncultured bacterium. RNAcentral describes it as "bacterial SSU rRNA". It matches the Rfam family "Bacterial small subunit ribosomal RNA", at positions 28 to 526 of the family's 1533-position model. The record is from RNAcentral.